RNAcentral lists this ribosomal RNA (465 nucleotides) under uncultured bacterium. RNAcentral's name for it is "partial 16S ribosomal RNA". It matches the Rfam family "Bacterial small subunit ribosomal RNA", at positions 338 to 795 of the family's 1533-position model. The record is from RNAcentral.
CCUACGGGUGGCAGCAGUGGGGAAUAUUGCGCAAUGGGCGCAAGCCUGACGCAGCGACGCCGCGUGAGGGAUGAAGGUCUUCGGGUCGUAAACCUCUUUCAGCAGGGAAGAACGGUCACUGUGCUAAUCAGCAGUGAAUUGACGGUAACUACAAAGGAAGCACCGGCUAACUCCGUGCCAGCAGCCGCGGUAAUACGGAGGGUGCGAGCGUUAAUCGGAAUUACUGGGCGUAAAGCGCUCGUAGGCGGUACGUCAAGGCAAGGGUGAAAGCCCCGCGCUUAACGUGGGAAUUGCCUUUGAAACUGGGAAACUGGAGUGUGUGAGAGGAUAGUGGAAUUCCAGGUGUAGCAGUGAAAUGCGUAGAUAUCUGGAGGAACAUCAGUGGCGAAGGCGACGAUCUGGCACAUAACUGACGCUGAGGAGCGAAAGCGUGGGUAGCAAACAGGAUUAGAUACCCGUGUAGUC